AACAGCCGGGUGGUCAUCAGCAGAGAUUGGGAAGGUCGCUGUGCUGGAUGAAGAUGAAUGGGAUACAAAACACUAUUCCGCCGUCUCUCAAAUACCCAGGUAUUUUUGGUUGAACCAAAACAACGGGACAAUCCUAAUGACCGAGAGACCUCCGCAGGGAACGUACAACCUCAAUAUUACGGUUUCUGACGGUGUGUGGCCAGAUUCCUUCUCUACUAUCAAAAUUUAUGUACAAGAGAUUGGAAGUGACGCCUUCCGCAGCUCGGUGUCUCUGAGACUCACAAAUCCGAUCGGUUCUGAAGGAAAGGAAUUCCCAAGUAUCCAUUGAUUUCUGUUCACGGAUGGGCUGUUUGCAGGAUGGCGGGUGCGCAAUCCAUAGCGCAGUCAGCAGAUCCCCGCCUCUCGUGGAUGGAGGUAGCGCAUCUAUAGUCUCAAUUCCCCAAGUCGGAAACGUGUCCUGCAGAUGUCUGGUACAGAAACAAUUUUACCAGAACUGUUAUUCUCUGCCCCAAAACCCUUGCCUGAAUGGUGGGACUUGCACGUCGACUCUCACCGGUUACAGGUGUCACUGUUUCACUUCGUUCCUUGGGCCACGCUGCCAGCAGACUCAGAGAACAUUUCACGGUAAUGGCUAUGCAUGGAUUCAUCCUAUCGGCCACUGCUCGGACAGCCAUCUAUCGCUGGAGUCUGUAAGAGACAGCACAGACACAU
Molecule: long non-coding RNA, 711 nt
Organism: Spea bombifrons (plains spadefoot toad)
Lineage: Eukaryota; Metazoa; Chordata; Amphibia; Anura; Pelobatidae
Exons: 4
Source: RefSeq, a predicted model, not a curated record